GAAGGAGUAGGAGAAGGAACCCCUUUAGGGUCAAACCCAACAGCUCCUUCU
This 51-nucleotide transfer RNA is filed under the name Lysmata vittata. RNAcentral describes it as "tRNA-Leu". Lineage: Eukaryota; Metazoa; Arthropoda; Malacostraca; Decapoda; Hippolytidae. The record is from RNAcentral.